ACGGGACACGUGAAACCCUGUGGGAAGCAGGAGGGACCACCCUCCAAGGCUAAAUACUACCUAGUGACCGAUAGCGUAUAGUACCGUGAGGGAAAGGUGAAAAGAACCCCGGGAGGGGAGUGAAAUAGAACCUGAAACCCUGCACUUACAAGCUGUGGAAGCACAUUUCUUGUGUGACCGCGUACUUUUUGUAGAACGGGCCAACGAGUUACGUUAAGUAGCAAGGUUAAGCACUUAAGGUGCGGAGCCGUAGCGAAAGCGAGUUUUAACUGAGCGUUCAGUUACUUGACGUAGACCCGAAACCGGGCGACCUACCCAUGAGCAGGAUGAAGCGAAAGUAAAAUUUCGUGGAGGUCCGAACCCACGAGCGUUGAAAAGCUCGGGGAUGACUUGUGGGUAGCGGUGAAAUUCCAAUCGAGCCCGGAGAUAGCUGGUUCUCCCCGAAAUA
RNAcentral lists this ribosomal RNA (448 nucleotides) under Clostridioides difficile. RNAcentral's name for it is "partial 23S ribosomal RNA". It matches the Rfam family "Bacterial large subunit ribosomal RNA", at positions 417 to 866 of the family's 2925-position model. The record is from RNAcentral. Lineage: Bacteria; Bacillati; Bacillota; Clostridia; Peptostreptococcales; Peptostreptococcaceae.